UUAUCGAAAACAUCUCUCUUUGUAAAUUAUAUAUAAGGAGUUGGCCCUGCUCGGUGAAAGUUUUAACAGCUGCGGUAUUUUAACUGUACUAAGGUAGCAUAAUAAUUUGCCUUAUAAUCUUGAGGCUAGAAUGAAUGGUUUGACGAAGGUUAAUCUGUCUCUAUUUUACUUUUUAGAAAUUAAUUUUCAUAGUGAAAAAGCUUGAAUUUUUUAAAGGGACGAGAAGACCCUAUUGAGCUUAUAAUUUUAUUAUUACCAAUAUUAUUAAUUGUUAGUGGUAAUAUAUAAAUUUUAAUUGGGGUGAUUAAGGACAUAAAAAGUUUAUUAUUUAGUAACUUCCUUAGUAAAUAUAAAUUGUUAAAUAAAGUAACCAAUAUAAAUAAAUAUUAUUGCUUAUAUUAUAGUUACCAUAGGGAUAACAGCGUAAUUUAUUUAGAGAGUUCUUAUUGAAAAAUAAGAUUGCGACCUCGAUGUUGGAUUAAAGUAACUUAAGGUGCAGAAGCUCCAAUAAGGUAAAUCUGUCGAUUUUUAAAACUUUACAUGAUCUGAGUU
Molecule: ribosomal RNA, 552 nt
Filed under: Doryteuthis gahi
Lineage: Eukaryota; Metazoa; Mollusca; Cephalopoda; Myopsida; Loliginidae
Description: partial 16S ribosomal RNA
Rfam family: Bacterial large subunit ribosomal RNA
Source: RNAcentral